RNAcentral lists this ribosomal RNA (253 nucleotides) under uncultured bacterium. Its description in RNAcentral is "partial 16S ribosomal RNA". It matches the Rfam family "Bacterial small subunit ribosomal RNA", at positions 524 to 776 of the family's 1533-position model. The record is from RNAcentral.
UACGAAGGGUGCGAGCGUUGUUCGGAAUUAUUGGGCGUAAAGGGUUCGUAGGUUGGAAUUCAAGUCAGAUGUGAAAUCCCCGAGCUUAACUUGGGACGUGCAUUUGAAACUGGGUUUCUUGAGUACUGAAGAGGGUGAUGGAAUUGCUGGUGUAGGAGUGACAUCCGUAGAGAUCAGCAGGAACACCGGAGGCGAAAGCGGUCACCUGGUCAAGUACUGACACUGAGGAACGAAAGCGUGGGGAGCAAACAGG